UUACUAGAAGGCACCAGGUGAAACAACCACAAGCAGGGGAUGGAAGGUCGCAGAUGGAGAAGAAACCCCAAGCAAAUUGGGAGUCCCUGAUGCCAAGUAACAAAAGGUGCCAGUCCUGCACCCUUGGCCGUCCCUGACGAGCCCACUAUUACUAAUGGUGGAUGGCGUGCCUCUCAAUGGACGGUUGCUUCUCAUGGGGUGGAUUCGUCUCCUCCCCCCUCCUAGCGGCUGCGACGACGAUGACGGUUACACUGAGGCACUAAUGCGGGGCUUUAAAGGAAUAAAAAGGAAAGAGCUGAUGACAGGCUUAGAAAGCAACAGAAGAAGAGACCAAGAUGAAGGAGUCUGAGCUAAUGCGAGGAAACCCGCUGAUCAAUAUGAAUAACUUCUGCUCCUUCGACGUGGAAGUAACAAUGCUGCCUACUAUAUUAUAUUGGUCAUGGAGAGACCAAGACACCGAAACGGUUCAUCAACUACACCGUCAUAAGUGAUUUCCACCGCAAGUUUCUGCAUAGGUA
Triticum aestivum (bread wheat) is the source of this 518-nucleotide long non-coding RNA. RefSeq lists it as uncharacterized. The transcript is spliced from 5 exons. The record is from RefSeq and is a predicted model, not a curated record. NCBI's taxonomy places the organism in Eukaryota, Viridiplantae, Streptophyta, Magnoliopsida, Poales, Poaceae.